GACGAACGCUGGCGGCGUGCUUAACACAUGCAAGUCGAACGGAAAGGCCCUGCUUUUGUGGGGUGCUCGAGUGGCGAACGGGUGAGUAACACGUGAGUAACCUGCCCUUGACUUUGGGAUAACUUCAGGAAACUGGGGCUAAUACCGGAUAGGAGCUCCUGCUGCAUGGUGGGGGUGGGAAAGUUUCGGCGGUUGGGGAUGGACUCGCGGCUCAUCAGCUUGUUGGUGGGGUAGUGGCUUACCAAGGCGUUGACGGGUAGCCGGCCUGAGAAGGUGACAGGCCACAUUGGGACUGAGAUACGGCCCAGACUCCAACGGGAGGCAGCAGUGGGGAAUAUUGCACAAUGGGCGGAAGACUGGUGCAGCAACGCCGCGUGCGGGAUGACGGCCUUCGGGUUGUAAACCGCUUUCGCCUGUGACGAAGCGUGAGUGACGGUAAUGGGUAAAGAAGCACCGGCUAACUACGUG
This 468-nucleotide ribosomal RNA is filed under the name uncultured bacterium. Its description in RNAcentral is "partial 16S ribosomal RNA". It matches the Rfam family "Bacterial small subunit ribosomal RNA", at positions 28 to 507 of the family's 1533-position model. The record is from RNAcentral.